RNAcentral lists this unclassified non-coding RNA (225 nucleotides) under Hevea brasiliensis (rubber tree). Lineage: Eukaryota; Viridiplantae; Streptophyta; Magnoliopsida; Malpighiales; Euphorbiaceae. The record is from RNAcentral.
GUUACUGAGUUUUCCCGCUUGAGAAAGCAGCACAUGAGUUGCAGUCUUCCUGCAUACAGAGAGUGGAAGUAACAAAAUUGUAUGUUAAGGGCAUCCUUCCCAACAAACCAUUGAAAUCAAUAGGAGACAUGUCUAUGAAACGGCUCACGCUCCGAGGAGGUUGUUUGUCCAUUGCAUUAUUCAAUAGUUAAGAAGGAUCUAAUCCGAUUACACGCCAGAUGUCAG